CUCUGGAGAGCGACUCAGAGAAAUCCUCCAAAUCGCUGCAGGAGCUGGCAGACGAGCAGCGGCUGCGGAAACUGUCCACUAGAGGGAGACGGAGGGCGUGACCGCUGGCCCUCGCUGGCCCCGCCCAGUGCUUCCCAGGCCCUCCCAGCCCGCCCGCCCUGCCCAGUGCCUCCCAGCCCGCCCAGCCCCGCCCAGUCCCGCCUAGCCCGGCAGCCCCCAGCUCCAGGCCAGUUACCUGAGGAGCUGCGGUUUCGGGAGCGGUUAGGGGCGUCCCCUCGGCCAGUCAAGGCAGCAGGGGGCUGGGUCUGGCGAGACCAGGAGACGGACGGACCGUCCCCGCUUCCCCCACUGCCUAAGCGGUUCCGCUGCUGCUGCCUGGGAAAAAAGAAAGGAGACGCCGGUCUGUACGCCCAACUCCUGCAGGCAAGGGGGUCACUGCGCCCCUAAAGGUCACAGCCACGCCAGCGAAAGCCUGAGGUGACAGGCCUACGAGCGGAAAGCACGCAGAAACACAGACGAGGAGGCCGUGGGGUCGAAGCGGAGCGCGCGACCACCUAGGACGGCGUGGGAGAGGAGGCGGCUAGGUCCGGAGACGGGCCUUGGCAGCGCCAGUGCGUCCCCUCCCUACCGCAGGGCAGGGGCACAGACCUGUGGGCGAGGGCGAGGGGCGCGCAGGGCGGCCCCGACCCCGGCUCCCGCGGCCGCUCUCCCGGGAUGAGGAGCGCGCGGCGCCGCGGCCUCGCGACGCGGAGCGCUCCCGGGACGAUGAGGCCCGGUCCUCCCGCGUCGGGGGCGGCUGCACCGGCGGAGUCCGCCUCCUGAGACCACAGAGGCAGCUGUCAGCUUCCCGCCCGCCCCGACAAACUCAAUCGCGAGACUCCUCCCCGACCGCACCUUCUCCGAACCCUCAGGCCUACCCCAUCAACUCCUAGACGUGCACUCCUGGGCCCAUGACCCUCUCGAUAUCUUCCCCCCCAGACCUCACCCAAUUGGACCCCUAAAACACCCCUCUGUCAUUCCCCUACAUCCUUUCAACACACCGCCUUCAACAGACCCUUCUUUCCGGAGUCUUCCACAACUCCCCGGAAACUCUUUCCAAUUUUCCACCACCCACCCCAUAAAUGCCAGCGGACCUCACCCUGAUCCCACCUGCUGCGCCGCACCCUUUCGCACCAGGAGACCCUAGGGCACGAUCCCUUUCCCAGUCCCUCCUGAACGCCGCCCCAAGCCUGCGCAUCUCCGCACAGCCCGGGUCCACCUCCUAACCACUGCACCCAAAUCCUGUCUGGACUCCAGACGGGGUCCGCUAAGCCCCGCCUCCCCUUCAGCCCCGCCCCCUCCACCCUACCUGGCCCCGCCCCGCCCCCUUAGGCUCCGCCUCAUCAGCCUCCACACCCUCAGGGCCCGCCCAUCCGCCCAGGCGCCUGGCAGGCCUCGCUCUCACCCCCUCUUGUACAAUGCCAGCUCGCUGGUCAGCGUCUUCAGCCGGGCGCGCAGGCUCCGCUCCGAUGCCUUCGCCUCCUCGAGCUGCCGGGAGGGGAGAGGGGCGCGGAGGUCCAGGCUGAGGCCGAGGUCCGCGCCUCGCUGGCCGCCCCGGGCCCCCGCUGCUCACCUCCUUGGCCAGACGGCGGCAGUCCUGGCCGCGACGGCCGGCCACCCUGUGCCCGAGGCCGCGCUCCUGCCGCAGCUCCAGCUCCAGCCCGCGCACCAGCCCGCGCAGCGCCUCGGCCUCCUGGCGUGCCGCGCGCCCGGCCAGCGCCUCCUCGCGCGAUCGGCCCAGCUGCGCCUCCAGCUCCCGCUUCUCGGACGCCAGGCGCGACACCCUGGGGAAGACGCGGAGAGAGCGCUGGAGAGAGAGGCAUGGCCCCAUUCCCACUACUCCAUGGGGGUGGGACGCCUCAUCAUUUCACCUCCCCGGAAGGGGGUACACGGCUCAUCAGUCUCAACUGACCCCAUGGGGAGGGGCAGGGUCCUAUCAUAUCCCCUGCGACGUGUGAGGAGGGAUGUGGUCACAUCACCCCCAUGCACCUCACGAAGAGGACAUGACCCCACCACGCACAGGACACACACACACACUCCUCCCCCUGGUGCGGGUGAAGGAGUGGGAACACAGCCAUGUGAGUUCCAAUUCUAAACGAUUUCAUCAAUCUGUACACACCCUGAAAGCCUAGCACUGCCUCCCUCCUCCUCCCACCUCGCCAGGCCAGUCUCCCAGUCACGAAAUCCUCUACAAUACAAAUUUGAUCAGGUAACUACCAUGCUCAAAACCCUUCCUUGAGAAAAUGUAUACACAAGGCUAUUCAUUGCAGCACAAUCUGUAAUAGCAAAAGAGUGGAAAUAACCAAAAUGUAUGUUAAAAGAGAACUAAUUGAAUUUCUAAUACAUCUACUCAAUUGAGUCCCACAAAACUAUAAAGAGGAAAGUAGAGUAUCUCUGUGUCCUGUCACCGAGUGACUGCUGUGACACAGUGCGGUGCAGACAGUAUGUUCAGAAUGUCCCUUUUCAUAAAAGAAAUGAGAAUUAUAAAUUAUAUGUUUAUAUUUUCAAAAUUACAGAAUAAACCAAAAUCUAUGGGGGAAAAAAGGAUUAUUUAUGGGGAAGGGGAAAAUGAACAGAAAUUGGACUUCUCUGGCUGGACAAAGUGGCUCAUGCCUGUAAUCUCAGCACUUUGGGAGGCCGAGGCAGGUGGAUCACAUCUCAAAAAAAUAAGAAAACCAGAAGUAAAAAUAAUUUUUUAAAAAAUGUAAGAAAUUGGACCUCUCUGAAUGUACCCUCUUUUUCAGUUUUGGAACUAUAAAAAUAUUUUAUACAAAUUAAUUAAUUAAAUUUUAACAAAUGCCAUCACAAAAAUUUUAAAAGAAACUGGCCCAAACAGACCUAACUCUAUAUCAAAGUUGGUGGCACAUUGGAGAAUUAUAGGAGGUGACUAAAACACAUCGUUUGAGCAAGCGGGAUAUAGCCUAAGGCCAAAAAGAACUGCA
RNAcentral lists this long non-coding RNA (2981 nucleotides) under Homo sapiens (human). RNAcentral's name for it is "HSALNT0260782". Lineage: Eukaryota; Metazoa; Chordata; Mammalia; Primates; Hominidae. The record is from RNAcentral.